Molecule: long non-coding RNA, 657 nt
Organism: Xiphophorus maculatus (southern platyfish)
Lineage: Eukaryota; Metazoa; Chordata; Actinopteri; Cyprinodontiformes; Poeciliidae
Exons: 4
Source: RefSeq, a predicted model, not a curated record
CAGUGCAGUGAUGUCAGUGUUUAAAAUAAACGUUGUCCCGUCAUUCUCAGAUAAAACGUUGAUCCUGUUUCAGACGGCUCCAUUUCUCUAGAGACGUUGCAGAGGCAGCAUGUUAUGAAAGGAAGAUUAUUGGACCAAAGCAGAGCAACACAUGGUUCCAGGUUGAGGUCAGGAUGGGGAACACCUCACCCAGGGUUCUGGUCUCACUCUUGCUGAACACACUGCUCUGCUGUGGACAAACUCUUGAUCCUGUGCUGACUGUUGAACCCAACUGGUUGAAUUUUUAUGUUGGAGAGAUUGUUACAUUUAUCUGUGACAUGAAUGUAGGAAGAGACACUGACUGGAAAUACCGGCUUUAAAGGAAUGGUCAAGAAUUUGUUCCCUAUCAGUCAGAUAAACGUUUCAGUUUUCAACGUAUAUCUACUAGUUAUAGACAUGAAUUUCAGUGCUGUGUAUGCUGGAAGGGUUCAUCUGACAAUAAGUGCAGUAAAACUGUCACUGUUACUGUCUCAGACAGACCCAUGGCCACAUUGACAGCAGGUUCAACAACCAUACCAGUAGGGGGCAGUGUGAUACUGAGCUGCUCAGUGGAGCCCUCUGCUGGAUGGAAGUACAGAUGGUUCAGACGGACCUCAGUCACUUCUUUUGUUGAAUUCA